RNAcentral lists this ribosomal RNA (253 nucleotides) under uncultured bacterium. RNAcentral's name for it is "partial 16S ribosomal RNA". It matches the Rfam family "Bacterial small subunit ribosomal RNA", at positions 524 to 776 of the family's 1533-position model. The record is from RNAcentral.
UACGGGGGGUGCGAGCGUUAAUCGGAAUUACUGGGCGUAAAGGGUGCGUAGGCGGUUCGAUAAGUUAGGUGUGAAAGCCCUGGGCUCAACCUGGGAUUUGCAUUUAAUACUGUUGAACUAGAGUAUAGGAGAGGGCAGUGGAAUUUCCGGUGUAGCGGUGAAAUGCGUAGAUAUCGGAAGGAACACCGGUGGCGAAGGCGGCUGCCUGGCCUGAUACUGACGCUGAGGCACGAAAGCGUGGGGAGCAAACAGG